RNAcentral lists this long non-coding RNA (262 nucleotides) under Linum usitatissimum (flax). RNAcentral describes it as "long non-coding RNA (LUSI_LNC000667)". Lineage: Eukaryota; Viridiplantae; Streptophyta; Magnoliopsida; Malpighiales; Linaceae. The record is from RNAcentral.
ACCCCAAAAACGACCCUUCUCUAACUUCUUCCGACGCUGCCGCUGUCGCCGGAGCUGCUAAAUUCUUCGACAAACAACCCAAUUCACCGCAGCCGCCAUUGUUCUCGGCGGAUUCCUUCAUUAGCCGUCUGAGCAGCUUCUCCUCGGCGUCCCUCAUGAACUUGAACUUCGGCGGCGGCGAGGAUAUCAGCCGGUUCAGCUCCGCCUCCGCCGCCGAUUCAAACAGCGGAUUGAAUCCCUGCAGCGAGUACCGCGGCGACUC